This 491-nucleotide ribosomal RNA is filed under the name uncultured bacterium. RNAcentral's name for it is "partial 16S ribosomal RNA". It matches the Rfam family "Bacterial small subunit ribosomal RNA", at positions 29 to 506 of the family's 1533-position model. The record is from RNAcentral.
AGUGAACGCUGGCGGUAGGCCUAACACAUGCCAGUCGAACGGCAGCACAGUAAGAGCUUGCUCUUACGGGUGGCGAGUGGCGGACGGGUGAGGAAUACAUCGGAAUCUACUUUUUCGUGGGGGAUAACGUAGGGAAACUUACGCUAAUACCGCAUACGACCUACGGGUGAAAGCAGGGGAUCUUCGGACCUUGCGCGAUUGAAUGAGCCGAUGUCGGAUUAGCUAGUUGGCGGGGUAAAGGCCCACCAAGGCGACGAUCCGUAGCUGGUCUGAGAGGAUGAUCAGCCACACUGGAACUGAGACACGGUCCAGACUCCUACGGGAGGCAGCAGUGGGGAAUAUUGGACAAUGGGCGCAAGCCUGAUCCAGCCAUACCGCGUGGGUGAAGAAGGCCUUCGGGUUGUAAAGCCCUUUUGUUGGGAAAGAAAAGCAGCAGGUUAAUACCCCGCUGUUCUGACGGUACCCAAAGAAUAAGCACCGGCGAACUUCGU